Molecule: ribosomal RNA, 247 nt
Filed under: uncultured bacterium
Lineage: Bacteria
Description: partial 16S ribosomal RNA
Rfam family: Bacterial small subunit ribosomal RNA
Source: RNAcentral
AUACGGAGGGUGCGAGCGUUGUUCGGAAUUAUUGGGCGUAAAGCGCGUGUAGGCGGUUUGUUAAGUCUGAUGUGAAAGCCCCGGGCUCAACCUGGGAAGUGCAUUGGAUACUGGCAGACUUGAAUACGGGAGAGGGCAGUGGAAUUCCUGGUGUAGGAGUGAAAUCCGUAGAUAUCAGGAGGAACACCGGUGGCGAAGGCGGCCCCCUGGACAAAGACUGACGCUCAGGUGCGAAAGCGUGGGGAGC